Molecule: long non-coding RNA, 407 nt
Organism: Heterocephalus glaber (naked mole-rat)
Lineage: Eukaryota; Metazoa; Chordata; Mammalia; Rodentia; Bathyergidae
Source: RefSeq, a predicted model, not a curated record
CAGUCACUGAAGAGAAAGUUUAUUCAUGCAGUAGCCAAACAUGGAGGUGGAAUAGCAAGUCUGAAGUCCAUUUUACACAGGAUUAAGAAUGGUGCCAUUAUGCCAUGGAAACCCAGGUGUUUAUGAGCAGAAGAGAGGAUGCCCAAACCAGUGAUGGAGUGUGUGAUAUGUGAAGACGGAAAGUUCCUUUGAAAGAGACGUAAUAACACCAAGCUAAUAUAAUUCAUGAAGUGGAGGUGGAGGUUACCAAUAUGCACCAUGAUGCUCUCUCAUGUUUCUGGGCAACAACAGUGAACUGGAGCUACCAGCCAGCCAUGCUUAAACAACCAAUAAUCCACAGUGUGCUUUGUUGCUAAGCUGUGAUGUUCAGUAAGUUAGGUGUAUUAAAUGCAUUUUUGGUUUAGUGA